GUGUUUGUAACUUAGUUGGUAGGGUGCUUACCUAGUGUGUAUGAAGUUGUGGGUUCCAUCCCCAGCACACAUA
Molecule: transfer RNA, 73 nt
Filed under: Mus musculus (house mouse)
Lineage: Eukaryota; Metazoa; Chordata; Mammalia; Rodentia; Muridae
Rfam family: tRNA
About the family: Transfer RNA (tRNA) molecules are approximately 80 nucleotides in length. Their secondary structure includes four short double-helical elements and three loops (D, anti-codon, and T loops). Further hydrogen bonds mediate the characteristic L-shaped molecular structure. tRNAs have two regions of fundamental functional importance: the anti-codon, which is responsible for specific mRNA codon recognition, and the 3' end, to which the tRNAs corresponding amino acid is attached (by aminoacyl-tRNA synthetases). tRNAs cope with the degeneracy of the genetic code in two manners: having more than one tRNA (with a specific anti-codon) for a particular amino acid; and 'wobble' base-pairing, i.e. permitting non-standard base-pairing at the 3rd anti-codon position.
Source: Rfam by way of RNAcentral